GACGAGGGAUCCUAGCGUUGCUCGGAAUCAUUGGGCGUAAAGCGGGUGUAGGUGGCUUGACAAGUCAGGUGUGAAAGCCCAGGGCUCAACCCUGGAAGUGCAUUUGAAACUGUCGAGCUUGAGUGCUAGAGAGGUUAUUAGAAUACCUGGUGUAGUGGUGAAAUACGUAGAUAUCAGGUGGAACACCGGAGGCGAAGGCG
This 200-nucleotide ribosomal RNA is filed under the name uncultured bacterium. RNAcentral describes it as "partial 16S ribosomal RNA". It matches the Rfam family "Bacterial small subunit ribosomal RNA", at positions 524 to 723 of the family's 1533-position model. The record is from RNAcentral.